CGGGACGGGUGAGUAACGCGUGGGUAACCUGCCUCAUACAGGGGGAUAACAGUUAGAAAUGACUGCUAAUACCGCAUAAGCGCACAGGGCUGCAUGGCCCGGUGUGAAAAACUCCGGUGGUAUGAGAUGGACCCGCGUCUGAUUAGCUGGUUGGAGGGGUAACGGCCCACCAAGGCGACGAUCAGUAGCCGGCCUGAGAGGGUGAACGGCCACAUUGGGACUGAGACACGGCCCAG
Molecule: ribosomal RNA, 236 nt
Filed under: uncultured bacterium
Lineage: Bacteria
Description: partial 16S ribosomal RNA
Rfam family: Bacterial small subunit ribosomal RNA
Source: RNAcentral